This 301-nucleotide ribosomal RNA is filed under the name uncultured bacterium. Its description in RNAcentral is "partial 16S ribosomal RNA". It matches the Rfam family "Bacterial small subunit ribosomal RNA", at positions 509 to 807 of the family's 1533-position model. The record is from RNAcentral.
CAGUCGCCGCGGGAAUACAGAGGGUGCAAGCGUUAAUCGGAAUUACUGGGCGUAAAGCGCGCGUAGGUGGUUUGUUAAGUUGGAUGUGAAAUCCCCGGGCUCAACCUGGGAACUGCAUCCAAAACUGGCAAGCUAGAGUAUGGUAGAGGGUGGUGGAAUUUCCUGUGUAGAGGUGAAAUGCGUAGAUAUAGGAAGGAACACCAGUGGCGAAGGCGACCACCUGGACUGAUACUGACACUGAGGUGCGAAAGCGUGGGGAGCAAACAGGAUUAGAUACCCCGGUAGUCCCUGUCUCUUAUAC